This 253-nucleotide ribosomal RNA is filed under the name uncultured prokaryote. Its description in RNAcentral is "partial 16S ribosomal RNA". It matches the Rfam family "Bacterial small subunit ribosomal RNA", at positions 524 to 776 of the family's 1533-position model. The record is from RNAcentral.
UACAGAGACUGCAAGCGUUAUUCGGAUUCACUGGGCGUAAAGGGUGCGCAGGCGGCCGUGUGUGUGAGGCGUGAAAGCCCGGGGCUUAACCCCGGAAUUGCACCUCAAACUACAUGGCUAGAGCAUUGGAGAGGGUAGCGGAAUUCACGGUGUAGCAGUGAAAUGCGUAGAUAUCGGGAGGAACACCUGUGGCGAAAGCGGCGCACUGGACCACAACUGACGCUGAGGCGCGAAAGCUAGGGGAGCAAACAGG